ACGAGAGAGAAGGAGCUUGCUCCUUCGAUCGAGUGGCGAACGGGUGAGUAACGCGUGAGGAACCUGCCUCAAAGAGGGGGACAACAGUUGGAAACGACUGCUAAUACCGCAUAAGCCCACGGGUCGGCAUCGACCUGAGGGAAAAGGAGUGAUCCGCUUUGAGAUGGCCUCGCGUCCGAUUAGCUAGUUGGUGAGGUAAUGGCCCACCAAGGCGACGAUCGGUAGCCGGACUGAGAGGUUGAACGGCCACAUUGGGACUGAGACACGGCCCAGACUCCUACGGGAGGCAGCAGUGGGGAAUAUUGCACAAUGGGGGAAACCCUGAUGCAGCGACGCCGCGUGGAGGAAGAAGGUCUUCGGAUUGUAAACUCCUGUUGUUGAGGAAGAUAAUGACGGUACUCAACAAGGAAGUGACGGCUAACUACGUGCCAGCAGCCGCGGUAAAACGUAGGUCACAAGCGUUGUCCGGAAUUACUGGGUGUAAAGGGAGCGCAGGCGGGAAGACAAGUUGGAAGUGUAAU
This 521-nucleotide ribosomal RNA is filed under the name uncultured bacterium. RNAcentral describes it as "bacterial SSU rRNA". It matches the Rfam family "Bacterial small subunit ribosomal RNA", at positions 66 to 600 of the family's 1533-position model. The record is from RNAcentral.